GUUGCCAUUGAUUACACUGUGGGCUACAACUGUUGUACAAAUCGUUUUGACUUAUCACAUACUUGUUCACAUUUUUGACGGAUUGGUACCAUUAAAAGUAUAUUGAAGUAGCUAUUAGUGGUACCUGUCUGAAGCCAUGUAUGUACAGACAACUACUAAGUUUUACUUCUAUGGUGAAGUGUCGUUUUUUAAAGAUUUGUAAGCGGAUUUAUGGACGUUAACUGCGACGGACAUCGGAGAAAAUGACAUUCUCGAGAAACGACCACAAUGAUGCCUUUCUCUGUGAUCUGUCAGGGUGGUUCCCAGCAGUCAGUAGACCUUUGUCUCCGUCCGUUUGACUGGUGCUUUUGAUCAGAGAGUGAAGUGACACCCCUCAAGGCCAACUUGGGAACAUACAAAAGCAGAAACCAUGGAGUCAGCUUAAGUUAUUCAAGCUUUGAAAUCAGUGAAUGGUUGGAAAAUAUGGAAAGAGUGACACCCAUUGCAGCUGUGAAGGAAAUGCAGCCAGACUCUUACACAUCAGAG
Molecule: long non-coding RNA, 525 nt
Organism: Lates calcarifer (barramundi perch)
Lineage: Eukaryota; Metazoa; Chordata; Actinopteri; Centropomidae
Exons: 3
Source: RefSeq, a predicted model, not a curated record